UCACCUGUGCUGGCCCAGGUGCUAUUUAAGAGUGUCUGAGAUGUGGAGGGUCAAAACCUUUAUUUGGCUCGCCCUAUUUAUUUGUCUCUCUCAUUCCUUUGUCUGAUCUUCCCUGUUUUAGUGUUGCUCAACUUUCUGGUUUGCUUCCUGUCUUUAAGUUUGGUGUGGGUUUUUCUUUUGUUUUUCUCUUCUUGGGGAGAUUUAGUGGGAGCACAUGGUGGGUGUCAUGUUCUAGACCUCACGGUAUAAUUAACUUGACAAUGGAGACUGAAGUACUAUUAGUUUUAGCAUUAUAUCCUAAGCAUGAAACCAUACACACAGCAAGAAAACACAUUCCUCUGCUUCCUUCUCCUUGUGCCAGACGGGCAGACGUUGCAGUGCCUCCGUGUGCAACUACCUUGAGCAGCAGUUUGAGGGACUUUGCAGGGUAAAUGCUGCGCAGUGAGGCAUAGGGGAUUGUCUGCAGCAGGACGACCCCCAGUGGACGGGCGCCAAGGGGUGUGGUGCUCCUCCAGCAGCUCUCUCAUUAGGAUUUCUCUGUACUUUUGAUCUGUCGACUAUGCUUCCAACACAACACACCUUUUGGAUGCCAUCGCUCAGUUCAGGAAGCAUAUUGAUUUGGGCAAGAAGAAGAUUAGCAGAGCUGGCGUUUGAGCACAAUGCUUGGAUGUCAAAGCAGUUCCAGUCCUUUGGUGACCUGUUUGAUGCCCAGGAACACAAGCAGCAAGCAACUCACCUUUGUGCCCAUGAGGUUUGGCAAUGCAUGUGUGACGCAGAAGGCUGUCAUUUACAAGACGGUACAAUCAUUCAAGCUUACACACAUGCAUCCCCACCCAUGACAGUUCUCAUCUGUUGAGAGACUGUUUUGUUAUCCCAACCCAGAGAUCCUGGAGACAGGGCCACUAGAAUGAGUAUGCCCACCUCUACACCAAUUUUUAAAAAUACUAGGUACUGAAAGUUAAUAUUUUUGUGUUUAAACUUGUGUGUACAGAUAUGAUGUUUAGGCGUGAAACCAAGAAUGCUGUCUAAGAACAGUUCAGUUUUGAAAUAUUUUGUAUUUGCAUGUGUCGAUCCCCAGAUGCAGGGAAGGAGAAAGGAGGCAUCCUGGCACUGCAAGUGAAAGAGAAGGAUGUUCCCCACUCGGUUAGCGCAUGUUUAUUCAUUCACUCACUCAUUCACCACGGCACAAACAUUGUCAUGUUCUACAAACCCCGAAGCCUCUCUCAGGGCACAAAUGCUACACAUUGCUGCACAGGGUAGCGCAUGCAAAGUCAAUGAGUGUAGACCUACGGUAGGUUAAUGGAUACCAAGUUCUAAACCUCAUGGUAAAUACACUGACUUAGUGGAAGAAGCCCUGUGAGGUUCUCAGGUC
This is a non-coding RNA of Oncorhynchus mykiss (rainbow trout), 1372 nucleotides long. NCBI's taxonomy places the organism in Eukaryota, Metazoa, Chordata, Actinopteri, Salmoniformes, Salmonidae. The record is from RefSeq and is a predicted model, not a curated record.